UGGGGAAUAUUGCACAAUGGAGGGAACUCUGAUGCAGCAACGCCGCGUGCGGGAUGACGGCCUUCGGGUUGUAAACCGCUUUCAGCCAUGACGAAGCUUUUGUGACGGUAGUGGUAGAAGAAGCACCGGCUAACUACGUGCCAGCAGCCGCGGUGAUACGUAGGGUGCGAGCGUUGUCCGGAAUUAUUGGGCGUAAAGAGCUUGUAGGCGGUUUGUCGCGUCGAUAGUGUAAACACGCAGCUUAACUGUGUGCCUGCUGUCGAUACGGGCUGACUAGAGGAGGGUAGGGGAGAAUGGAAUUCCCGGUGGAGCGGUGGAAUGCGCAGAUAUCGGGAGGAACACCAGUGGCGAAGGCGGUUCUCUGGACCUUUCCUGACGCUGAGAAGCGAGAGCGUGGGUAGCAAACAGG
RNAcentral lists this ribosomal RNA (409 nucleotides) under Fusobacteriota bacterium. RNAcentral describes it as "Fusobacteria bacterium partial 16S ribosomal RNA". It matches the Rfam family "Bacterial small subunit ribosomal RNA", at positions 355 to 776 of the family's 1533-position model. Lineage: Bacteria; Fusobacteriati; Fusobacteriota. The record is from RNAcentral.